RNAcentral lists this ribosomal RNA (467 nucleotides) under Microbacterium sp. FB11. RNAcentral's name for it is "bacterial SSU rRNA". It matches the Rfam family "Bacterial small subunit ribosomal RNA", at positions 383 to 860 of the family's 1533-position model. The record is from RNAcentral. Lineage: Bacteria; Bacillati; Actinomycetota; Actinomycetes; Micrococcales; Microbacteriaceae.
CUGAUGCAGCAACGCCGCGUGAGGGAUGACGGCCUUCGGGUUGUAAACCUCUUUUAGCAGGGAAGAAGCGAAAGUGACGGUACCUGCAGAAAAAGCCCCGGCUUACUUCGUUCCAGCAACCGCGGUUAUACGUAGGGCGCAAGCGUUAUCCGGAAUUUUUGGGCGUAAAGAGCUUGUAGGCGGUUUGUCGCGUUUGCUGUGAAAUCCCGAGGCUCAACCUCGGGCCUGCAGUGGGUACGGGCAGACUAGAGUGCGGUAGGGGAGAUUGGAAUUCCUGGUGUAGCGGUGGAAUGCGCAGAUAUCAGGAGGAACCCCGAUGGCGAAGGCAGAUUUUUGGGCCGUAACUGACGGUGAGGAGCGAAAGGGUGGGGAGCAAACAGGCUUAGAUUCCCUGGUAGUCCCCCCCGUAAACGUUGGGAACUAGUUGUGGGGUCCAUUCCACGGAUUCCGUGACGCAGCUAACGCAU